This 872-nucleotide long non-coding RNA is filed under the name Dromaius novaehollandiae (emu). Its description in RNAcentral is "lncRNA (ENSDNVG00000017356.1)". The record is from RNAcentral. Lineage: Eukaryota; Metazoa; Chordata; Aves; Casuariiformes; Dromaiidae.
CUGGCAAUGAUGAAGCCUAAUGCUGUCCUGGGCAGAGCAUAGCCAGUAGAUCAAGGGGGAUGAUUAUCCCCCUUCACUUGGCACUCUUGAGACCAGAUCUAGAAUACUGCAUCCAGUUUUGAAGUGCCCCAGGACAAAAAAGACAUUGAUGAACAGGAGUGAUUUCAGCAGAGGGUCCCCAAGAUGGUUGGGAGCUCGAGCGUGUGCCCUGUGAGGAAAGCCUAAGAGACUUGAGUUUGCUCAGCCUGGAGAACAGAAGGUUUCAGGGURCUAAUAGCAGCCUUACCAUACCUGCCAGCAAGCUAUCAAGAAGAUGGAGCCAGGCUCUUCACAGUAGUACUUGGGUGGGAGUUCAAGAUACAACAGAUAUAGGUUGAAAAAGAAAGGUUCUUGCUGGAUAGGAGGAAAACUUUAUUGUUUUGGGGACAAURAAGCAUCGGAACAAGUUGUCUGGAGAGGCUGUGCAGUCUGCCUGCUUGGAGUUUUUCAAGACCUGACUGGAUAAUGCCUUGAACCACCUAGUGUGAUCUCACACCUGACCUUGCUUUGAGCUAGGGACCUCCUAAGGUCCUUUCCAGACUGGAUUAUUGUAUGAUUCUGUGAACUUCUACAAGAAGAAGAGUAAACUAGAGAUAAUGAGGAGGAAGUUGUAGGAAAAACAGAUCUCUGAGAAGCAGGGAGAAUAACAGCCUGGAGAAUGCAGCCGAGCUAUGCCACUGGACUACGGAAGCAAGGCCAUUGACAAUCAAGAAAGCAGCAGCAGGAGAUCAGCAUAUUCCCAUGUUGCUGAAAGGAUGUUUGGAUCAGUGAAGUGCAUCUGUCAUGCUAUCUGCUGUCACCUCAUGAUCCUCCUUCAUCUCCCACUAGUUUAA